UCACACUUUUGAAAGUCGUGCGUCUCAAAAUUCCCUUUCCGAAAAGCUAUCGUGGGUCUCUAUCGGAUGUCGGCAGCAAAAGUUAGGCCCGGUCCAAGUCUGCCGUAAAGUCCAAGGCUAACUGCUCCAUAUCAUUCCCUUCCACUUGUAAAGAACUCGACCUCGAGUUGUCUUCAGCAGGAUAGUACUGAAAUAGAUCCGCCACGUUAAACGUCUUGGAAAUUUUCAUCUCAUGUGGGAGGUCAAGAACAUAGGCAUUGUCAUUAAUCUUCUGAAUGAUCCAGAAUGGACCAAUCUUCUUGGCGUCCAGCUUUUUCUGUCCUCCACCACGUUCCUUGCGUAAAUACACCAUAACUUGAUCACCGA
This 366-nucleotide long non-coding RNA is filed under the name Manihot esculenta (cassava). Its description in RNAcentral is "long non-coding RNA (MESC_LNC007188)". The record is from RNAcentral. Lineage: Eukaryota; Viridiplantae; Streptophyta; Magnoliopsida; Malpighiales; Euphorbiaceae.